UGAACCCUCCAUUGUUCCUGGUCUUUGCUCCCUGGUUCCCGCGGGGUGGUGGUGAGUAAAGCCCCUCAGGACAGGUGUACCCAUCACCCCUCUCAUCUCUGCAGCUGCUGUGGGUGAUCCGAGGCCGAGUGAGUCUGUAAAUGGAGUGUCUGCUGCUGACCUGAGCGCUGUCCAGCUGGAGAUGUCUUUUGGAAGGUAGCAUCACCCUGCCAUUCAGACCACAGCACUAUGCUGUGUGAUUUCAGAGAACUUUCUUCAAACACAAGAAAAUACGUCAAUUUUCAAUCUUAACAUUUGCUUGGAAAUCCAUUUUUCUGAGCAUUCUGAAGCAGUUUGAGACAUCAGGGUCAUUUGAAGAGAACACAAGCUACAUACCAGAACAAUAUAAGCUACAGCAAUAUUUUGGAAGAAAGCAUCUUUCAGGUCUCCAGAUAUUUAUGCAUUGCUUGAAAAUGAGUAUGGAAGUUGUCCAAUAACUUUACCAGACUGAACACGACCGGGUCACUUGCUGACUCACAGAAGUGGUGCUCCUGCUUCUCUCAUGUAGCAUUCUGGGUGAGCUGGAAAAGGGAGAACAAAGAGCUGCUUGUAUCCCAGGAUUUCCUCUGGUAGACUUGCUCUGAGAGCAGCUCAGAUCUAAGGUGGAGAUCAGAAAGAGACACCAUCAUCAGUAUCUGAACCCCAUUAACUUCAAAUCCCUUGAAUCCAGGAGCAAAGCUGAAGGCAAAGGCUGUCUGAGUCAUUCCCACCAUCCUCAGAUCACAGGAGCAUCCACACACGGUACAAGGGGCUGGAAGGGUGCACGAGGGGCUUCAUGGAUACUCAUCCUGUUCUCCAAAAACAAACUCUGUUCAAUUGCUUUUUCAAAUUCUUUACCUGAGAACCAUGAUAGGGCUUAAUAUUUUAAUUUAUUUUAAUGCUUUGCAUUUUAAUUCCUUACUUCAAACUCAACUACUCAGCUGCUGCCAUUGGCCAUUGAAAAACCAAGGAAAAAUCCUAGUCAAUGCAUAUACUUUUUUGUUUAUCAUAUUUUGUAACUUUGAACUUUAGCAACAGAAAUAUUUUGCACUGGAGCUUGCUACUUACUGCCAAGUUCUUCUUUGGUCCCCUGCUGUUGCAGUAAUGCAUUGCUAAAGACAUGAAUUUCUGAAAGACUUUUAUUUUUGUCUCCCUACAAUUCCCUUGUAUAGGUAGACAUCUGAAUAUCAGUCAACAGGUAGUCUUCAAUUUGCACAUUAUUAAACAAUGUUUGGGAUUUAGUUGUUU
This is a non-coding RNA of Cyanistes caeruleus (blue tit), 1266 nucleotides long. The record is from RefSeq and is a predicted model, not a curated record. NCBI's taxonomy places the organism in Eukaryota, Metazoa, Chordata, Aves, Passeriformes, Paridae.